UACAGAGGUCUCAAGCGUUGUUCGGAUUCAUUGGGCGUAAAGGGUGCGUAGGCGGCUGGGCAAGUCUGAUGUGAAAUCCCGGAGCUCAACUUCGGAACUGCAUUGGAUACUGCCCGGCUAGAGUACUGGAGAGGAAACUGGAAUUUACGGUGUAGCAGUGAAAUGCGUAGAGAUCGUAAGGAAGGCCAGUGGCGAAGGCGAGUUUCUGGACAGUUACUGACGCUGAGGCACGAAGGCCAGGGGAGCAAACGGG
This 253-nucleotide ribosomal RNA is filed under the name uncultured bacterium. RNAcentral's name for it is "partial 16S ribosomal RNA". It matches the Rfam family "Bacterial small subunit ribosomal RNA", at positions 524 to 776 of the family's 1533-position model. The record is from RNAcentral.